This 261-nucleotide unclassified non-coding RNA is filed under the name uncultured fungus. Its description in RNAcentral is "partial contains 5.8S ribosomal RNA, internal transcribed spacer 2, and large subunit ribosomal RNA". The stretch from base 1 to 52 matches the Rfam family "5.8S ribosomal RNA", at positions 103 to 154 of the family's 154-position model. Lineage: Eukaryota; Fungi. The record is from RNAcentral.
AACGCACAUUGCGCCCUUUGGUAUUCCGAAGGGCAUGCCUGUUCGAGCGUCAUGAUCAACCCUAAAGCUUUGGCUUUGUUAUUGAGAUUUAUAACUUCUAGGUUAUAAACUUGAAAGAUAUUGGCAGAGUUGAUUUGAACUGAGAAUGCAACGAGCUUUUAACAAAGCAAGCAUUAUCAUUUUAAAACGGAUUCUUGUCUUGAACUACAUCUUUUUUACAAGGUUGACCUCGGAUCAGGUAGGAAUACCCGCUGAACUUAA